AUGCAGAGCUGCUACUACCCUCAGCUGCCUCAUCUCACGGACCAUGCGGCGCUAUCGGCCGACCGAUCAUCUAACGUUACUGAAGAUCUGCUGGACUUCGCCACAGAUGAGUGUCAGUCCACUGAUACACAUUCAAGGACACACGAGGCCCACACAGACCUGGAUCUCUCUCUAGAGCUGAACAGACAGGUGGGUUUAAUCCAGAAGCAGUUCAUUUCGGUUUUAACUUUACAAAUUCAGAGUUAAUUGACUGAGCUGACUUGUUGGGCCAAGUUUCCAAGGUUUAGCCAACCUUUUGACCAAAAAAUGGAAGAAAAAGAAAUUCACACACCAAAGUUUGACUGAGAGUUGUUCAAGGCCAUGAUCCACUCUUUAUUCCAAGAUAGUCUGUAUGAUAAAUGUAGAUGAACCUAGAUUUAAAGGGGUCAAGACAUGGAUUUUUUUUAUUUUAUUUUAAAAUGUUCCUUGAGUUUACUUGUGAUGUUAAUAAAUAAAUAAAUGAUUAUUUUCA
Molecule: long non-coding RNA, 511 nt
Organism: Cyprinus carpio (common carp)
Lineage: Eukaryota; Metazoa; Chordata; Actinopteri; Cypriniformes; Cyprinidae
Source: Ensembl